RNAcentral lists this long non-coding RNA (1120 nucleotides) under Marmota monax (woodchuck). The record is from RNAcentral. Lineage: Eukaryota; Metazoa; Chordata; Mammalia; Rodentia; Sciuridae.
GAACCCGCUCCCUGUUCUGGCCCAUGGGGGCGGGGGCGGGCCUCCUCUCCCAGGCCUGCACCGCAUCCCGUCCCGCCACAGCCAUGAAGGGGGAGAAGUCGCCCCAGAACACGACCUGGCCUGGGCUGCCCAGGUGCCACCAGCCACAGACAGGGUGUUGGGAGCAGCGAUCCAAAUUACGGUCCUCAAGCCGGCGACAGGAGCACAUCUGAGCUGGGAACUUGUGCAAAGGCCCAGGUGAGACUGCCCAGUUAACUGUGGUGAUGCCCUGUUCAGAAGAGGUCCCAGCCUGUUAUGGGACUGUCACUUCUGACUCCAGUUCAGACACUAGCUGCAGGGGUGAAGAAUUGUGAGCAGAGUCUGGUCACGAUGGGCUGCCCCCAACCGCGACCUUUGUCCUGCUUGUGUUGAAGAAACUUUCCCAAAGGAAACCUCGAUGAUAAACGUGCUGGCCUGGCUCGGUCAUUCGUCCCUCGCCAGGGGAUGAGAGCCACGGGUCCCCAGCUUUCUCUCUAGGUGUGUCUGUUUGUCUUUUCUUCAUCCCCUAUCGCCCCUUGUCCCGUUUCUGAACUAACAGCCAUGCAGGUGGCAGCAGCAGGGGACCCAGUCUGGGACUGGAGGCUGCAGAAGGCCCACAAGGCCUCAGCCCCCUCCCCUCUGCCCACUGAUGCUGGAGAGACCUGGGUCCGGAGAAGAACUGCAAGUGUGGUGUCAGGUGGUGGCUGUCACGGCCUCAGUGUAGGGAGACUGAAGUGACAGGACUGGGAAUGGAAAGCAGGAUUCGCCCAGGCAGCACUCCAUGUUACGUCAUGCCCCUGCACCCCCGAGGGAAGCUCUCAGCAUAGCGGGGAGCAGUCAAGAGAAAAAGCCAUUUCCUUAGAGCUCGGGGCCAAGGAAGGUCUGGCACAGCUGAGGACCCCGUGGUCCCCACUCUUCCCACAGGGGAGCUAAAUGUAAAUUUCAGGAGUAGAAUUUUGCGAACAUGCUUUGAGAAAUACACAUACUGGGUUAGAGGACAUGGAGAAGACUUUGACCGUGACAAGAGGGGUCCUGCGAAGACGAUUUGUAUGUGAAAGACGUGUUUCAUACUAUAACCGUGUUUUGUGUGUGCAUUUACUCC